Molecule: long non-coding RNA, 1196 nt
Filed under: Marmota monax (woodchuck)
Lineage: Eukaryota; Metazoa; Chordata; Mammalia; Rodentia; Sciuridae
Source: RNAcentral
AGCAAUUCCCACUGCAGUAAUGAGAUAGUAUGAGAUCCUCCAACAGGUAGGUCUAUUUGAACUUUGAGUGACUCUGAAAUACCUUGGAAGUAUCCUGACAUAUUACCACUAAUUUGAUAAUAAAGGACUAACCCAAUGGCCUCUAGUCAGUUACUUUACUGACCUCAAUAUAGUCCUGAAAUAUCAAUACGAUCAUUCAGUUGGUUUCAUCAUCAGUCUUUCCUUAUCUUAGGGCCACAAUUUUUUUUUAUUGUGGACUCUCUCAUAAAGAGAGAGUCCACAAUAAAAAAAUUUCCUAUUUUACUCUCCCUUUGUGACAACAUUAUCUUCUUUUCCAAGAAAUCUUCAGAAUUCAUAACCUCUUAGAAAAGAUGAUCAAUCCAAAGCUGUAACUGAAGGAUUAGAGCUUUUGGAGGUCCCUUGUUGAGGCAUUCCAAGUCAAGGACAUUUUGUACACUAUGUAGUUUUAUCCAGUAGCCAGGCUGAGCAUACUAAUGGGAAUCUGUGAUCAUGCUUUUCUGCCUACUAGCUACUAACAAUUCUACCACUUCAAAAUUUAUUAUAGUGACAACAUCUACUUUAUAUCAUCAAAUUCAACAAUAAUUAUUCAUUACUUAGCAUAAAGAUAGUCACAAAGGGGUGUCCUCAGAACUUAUAGCUAAAUGAAUUGCUCUGAGAAUGAAACUAAUUCGAAUCCACAGAGAACAGAUGCAGUCUGUAACUUCAAAGGCUUGGAGAACCCCUAUGUCCAAUAAAGGAUGUAGUUUUAGAGAGACAGAUCUGCUACAUGAUUGAUACCACCCAGAAAGAUAGGAUCUAAUUAUUUUGUAAGACUGAAUAAGAUAUUGUUAACAAAAGAAUGGUCUACUUGGAGUCUGAAAAAGAAGGCAAUGAGAAAAAAUAUAAUCACUCAUCUCCCUAGCCUCAAAGAUUAUUGACCAGCACACCAUUUGGAAGGUCCACCCUGACAGUAUUGUUAAGCCACCAGGCCAUUCCAAUUUGGCCUUAGCCAUUAAGAUGGUCACUUGAAUACAUUUGCUCUGAGUUGAUGGUCUUCAAGUAAUCAGAUUGUAAUUGCUUUUCUGUAUAAACUUUGUUAUGGAGAGAACAUUUCCUAACCAACUGACAUAAGUGUUCUAGCCUAUUUGGCAGUUAAUUCUCAUUGUAAGUGAAUAAAUUGGUGUUUGGCUUACUCA